RNAcentral lists this non-coding RNA (112 nucleotides) under Shinella sp. RNAcentral describes it as "TPP sequence". It matches the Rfam family "TPP riboswitch aptamer (THI element)". Rfam says of the family: Vitamin B(1) in its active form thiamin pyrophosphate (TPP) is an essential coenzyme that is synthesised by coupling of pyrimidine and thiazole moieties in bacteria. The previously detected thiamin-regulatory element, thi box was extended, resulting in a new, highly conserved RNA secondary structure, the THI element, which is widely distributed in eubacteria and also occurs in some archaea. Lineage: Bacteria; Pseudomonadati; Pseudomonadota; Alphaproteobacteria; Hyphomicrobiales; Rhizobiaceae. The record is from RNAcentral.
UCCGCUCUAACGGGGUGCCCCGCAGGUUCCGACCUGCCGGCUGAGAGGCGUUCGCCAACCCGAAGAACCUGAUCCGGCUCGUACCGGCGGAGGGAUUAGACGGCUCAAUCCA